ACAAAGAUUGAUGCCUAUUGACAAACUGAUUCAAAUCUUUAACCAGAACUUGGAAACUAGGGAAGAGCGAAUAAAUAAGCUGGGUGAACUUGAAAAUACUAUUUCAAAGUUGAUCAACAACUUUCAUCUCAUCGAGUCACGUGUAUGUAACAGAUAUGCUUGUCAUGUGACGCUUGCUGAUAACACACCUG
Long non-coding RNA from Physella acuta, 191 nucleotides. RefSeq lists it as uncharacterized. NCBI's taxonomy places the organism in Eukaryota, Metazoa, Mollusca, Gastropoda, Physidae. The record is from RefSeq and is a predicted model, not a curated record.